GAUGAACGCUGGCGGCGUGCCUAAUACAUGCAAGUCGAGCGAACAGACGAGGAGCUUGCUCCUUUGACGUUAGCGGCGGACGGGUGAGUAACACGUGGAUAACCUACCUAUAAGACUGGGAUAACUUCGGGAAACCGGAGCUAAUACCGGAUAACAUGUUGAACCGCAUGGUUCAACAGUGAAAGACGGUCUUGCUGUCACUUAUAGAUGGAUCCGCGCCGCAUUAGCUAGUUGGUAAGGUAACGGCUUACCAAGGCAACGAUGCGUAGCCGACCUGAGAGGGUGGUCGGCCACACUGGAACUGAGACACGGUCCAGACUCCUACGGGAGGCAGCAGUAGGGAAUCUUCCGCAAUGGGCGAAAGCCUGACGGAGCAACGCCGCGUGAGUGAAGAAGGUCCUCGGAUCGUAAAACUCUGUUAUUAGGGAAGAACAAAUGUGUAAGUAACUAUGCACGUCUCGACGGUACCUAAUCAGAAAGCCACGGCUAACUACGUG
This 497-nucleotide ribosomal RNA is filed under the name uncultured bacterium. Its description in RNAcentral is "partial 16S ribosomal RNA". It matches the Rfam family "Bacterial small subunit ribosomal RNA", at positions 28 to 507 of the family's 1533-position model. The record is from RNAcentral.